Molecule: microRNA precursor, 108 nt
Organism: Arabis alpina (gray rockcress)
Lineage: Eukaryota; Viridiplantae; Streptophyta; Magnoliopsida; Brassicales; Brassicaceae
Rfam family: MIR828 microRNA precursor family
Source: Rfam
CUAAUGUUUCUUGCUUAAAUGAGUAUUCCAUGGAAAUAAAAUGGAGUCACAUAUCAUAUGGGUGUGAUUUCGUUUUCAUGAGAUGCUCAUUUGAGCAAGCAAUGUUUG